Long non-coding RNA from Cyprinus carpio (common carp), 1095 nucleotides. NCBI's taxonomy places the organism in Eukaryota, Metazoa, Chordata, Actinopteri, Cypriniformes, Cyprinidae. The record is from Ensembl.
CAUUGCUAAUUCAAGAGGGUGGGGACAAAUUGUACCCGCAACGUGUCAUAAGGGGAGGGCUUAAAAUAUGCUAUAUGUUUUUUUGGCUUGCAGGUUGAGGCCCGCAAGCGUUUAAUACGCGGAAUGAUGAGAGGGGGGACAACGAGCAGCUCAUUUCACUCUCCGUAGGGGAGGAGAGGAGCAUCUCAAUGGGAAAUAUGGGUGAAAAGACUGCGUGCAGCCCGAUACGGAGACGCUGAAUGGAUGGGGCCACUGCAACGUCACGCGGAGCCGCAGCCAUGAAGCGGAGGACCGAAGCGCUAGACAACAUUCUGGAGUGCACGCAGCUGGCACGCGCACAUUUAUCAUUGCGAUCCAUCCUAAAGAUCGUCGAUGCGCGUGGAUAGGAGACGUCCGUUAGAGAAAGAAAGAGAUUUUACACGAGGGACAAGUUACACAGGUCCCAGUUCAACCCCGGUUGGGUUUUUCAUAUGGUGGAAGAGGACGGGUGGCCGGAGGGGUUGGCUGUUAUCUUUGGUUAUCUAGCUGUAUGAGUGUUAUUCAUUCUUCAUAAAGCUAGAUAACCGAAAGUAACAAGAAUCCCAUUACACACCUGAAAGGCAUCACCCCACCUUGAGAUCUGUACUCCUCUCUUCUUCUCUUUUUCCUCCUAAGUCUCCCUCGUUCUCUCCUCCUUAAUCUCUGCAUCUUUUUGCGAGAGCAAGUUACAAAAUGGCCUCCAUCACUGCUGAUAGAGAAGACCAACCAUCCUUGAUGCCAGGGAAAGGAAAGAGUGAAGAAGCGGGGCAGGUCGGUUGUGUGGCUGUCGUCCUGCUGGCGUUGCUGCUCCCCUCCCCUUUGCUGCUCGCCUGCCCCCUUCCUCCCGUCACGAGAUGCAUUUUGCACAAAGCCACCAUCUUAGAGCAAGCGGGCAUUAAAUGGAAGUGGAAAAUAAGCAGGUAUGACCCACCAUCACUCUCCUGCGUCUCACACCCUCCUCUCGCUCACCUCUUCUCGUUUACACAUACUAUCCCCUCUCGCUCCCCCUGCUCGAAGGCACUGUUCAUUACAGCAGAUGUGUUUGUUAAUUGUGAAUAUCACAUGUCCUGGUUGUGA